GUGGGGAAUUUUGGACAAUGGGCGAAAGCCUGAUCCAGCCAUGCCGCGUGCAGGAUGAAGGCCUUCGGGUUGUAAACUGCUUUUGUACGGAACGAAAAGACUCCUUCUAAUAAAGGGGGUCCAUGACGGUACCGUAAGAAUAAGCACCGGCUAACUACGUGCCAGCAGCCGCGGUAAUACGUAGGGUGCAAGCGUUAAUCGGAAUUACUGGGCGUAAAGCGUGCGCAGGCGGUUAUAUAAGACAGAUGUGAAAUCCCCGGGCUCAACCUGGGAACUGCAUUUGUGACUGUAUAGCUAGAGUACGGUAGAGGGGGAUGGAACUCCGCGUGUAGCAGUGAAAUGCGUAGAUAUGCGGAGGAACACCGAUGGCGAAGGCAAUCCCCUGGACCUGUACUGACGCUCAUGCACGAAAGCGUGGGGAGCAAACAGGAUUAGAAACCCGAGUAGUCC
This 450-nucleotide ribosomal RNA is filed under the name uncultured bacterium. RNAcentral describes it as "partial 16S ribosomal RNA". It matches the Rfam family "Bacterial small subunit ribosomal RNA", at positions 354 to 796 of the family's 1533-position model. The record is from RNAcentral.